RNAcentral lists this ribosomal RNA (497 nucleotides) under uncultured bacterium. RNAcentral's name for it is "partial 16S ribosomal RNA". It matches the Rfam family "Bacterial small subunit ribosomal RNA", at positions 28 to 507 of the family's 1533-position model. The record is from RNAcentral.
GAUGAACGCUGGCGGCGUGCCUAAUACAUGCAAGUCGAGCGAACGGACGAGAAGCUUGCUCUUCUGAUGUUAGCGGCGGACGGGUGAGUAACACGUGGAUAACCUACCUAUAAGACUGGGAUAACUUCGGGAAACCGGAGCUAAUACCGGAUAAUAUUUUGAACCGCAUGGUUCAAAAGUGAAAGACGGUUUUGCUGUCACUUAUAGAUGGAUCCGCGCUGCAUUAGCUAGUUGGUAAGGUAACGGCUUACCAAGGCAACGAUGCGUAGCCGACCUGAGAGGGUGAUCGGCCACACUGGAACUGAGACACGGUCCAGACUCCUACGGGAGGCAGCAGUAGGGAAUCUUCCGCAAUGGGCGAAAGCCUGACGGAGCAACGCCGCGUGAGUGAUGAAGGUCUUCGGAUCGUAAAACUCUGUUAUUAGGGAAGAACAUAUGUGUAAGUAACUGUGCACAUCUUGACGGUACCUAAUCAGAAAGCCACGGCUAACUACGUG